UCUCUUCUCUUUACUGACAACAUUUGAAUAAGGUUUGUCUUGUUUUGGACAGAUUGAAUAAAAAAAAUUAUAGAAGUCUCUUCGAUGGCGAUUCAGCAAACGCAGGAGUUCACCCUCGACUCGCUCCUCUCCGAUCUGAACCGGUCAAUCUUACCUCCCUUAUAUUUUCUUCAUCAUUCCAUUCUUGAUCUAGAGUAUUAUGGAGAUCUAACUCGUAAAAAAUAAGGAAUAGUUUGCAUGUUGUUUCUGACAAUACCAAAGAAGAUAUCAGCCGAUUAAAAUGGUUUUUGAUGUGUGCGAAGAAGUUCUGAAGCUUACUCCGUCCAAACAUGUACACUUUUGUGUCAGAUAAAUUAGUAUUGUUUCAAAACAUUUUAUUUGUUGUUUAAUAAUUUUUUUGUUAAAUAUUUUUAUUUCCCAAUUAUUCUUUCCUAUUUUCAGAGAUAAGAAUCCUUUCAAGCAGUUGAUUUUAAACAUUUUUAUGUUUGUUGAAGUAAACCUUAGAAGGUAAACAUUUUUUGUGUUUGUUUUUCUGAAAAAUGGAUAUCGAUUUUAAAAUUUUAUUCAGUAUGAUUUUGUUUGUUGUUCUGAAAAGGACAGAACAUCUGCUUGACUUUCAUAUCAAUUUUUUUUUUUGUAUUGCUUUAUAGUAUCGUAAUAAAGAGAGUCAGGGCAUCUCCAUCAGUGAACCCCUCUCAUGGGGUUCACAAAAUAUUUUUUUAUUAUUUCUUUUUUUUUUCUGUUUGAUUUUUCCUAAAAAAAAAAAAAAAAAAAUUAAUAAUCUGACCAUUCGUGGGCCACCACGUGUCGUGGGGCCCACGAAAUAGUCAAGACCCAGGUUCACCACGAAGGGGCGCGGCUUGCUCAGCUUGGAGACAAUGGGAAUUAAUGGAUAUACUUUUCCAUAUGUUAAAAGAAGUCAGUGUUUCUAGUAACAGCCACACAUAGAUGCAAAAGCGAUAUCAGCAAUACUAUACAACAGUCUGAAAUUUCGUAAUCAACCAAAUUAAGGAAAUUGUCGUCAAUCUGGAGAGUUUACCCACUGAUGGAAGUGUUGUGAACAAAAGUAAUUCGGUAGAAUGAUCUGUUGUCCUAUACGUACGACCAACAGCAGUCAAAGAAAGCUAUCAAUGUUUAGCCACUCUCCAACAGGAACCUUGCGAGCCAAUUCAUAAGUCUUUUUACAU
Molecule: long non-coding RNA, 1187 nt
Organism: Raphanus sativus (radish)
Lineage: Eukaryota; Viridiplantae; Streptophyta; Magnoliopsida; Brassicales; Brassicaceae
Exons: 3
Source: RefSeq, a predicted model, not a curated record